Molecule: ribosomal RNA, 430 nt
Filed under: Pseudomonas sp.
Lineage: Bacteria; Pseudomonadati; Pseudomonadota; Gammaproteobacteria; Pseudomonadales; Pseudomonadaceae
Description: bacterial SSU rRNA
Source: RNAcentral
GGGUGAGUAAUGCCUAGRAAUCUGCCUAUUAGUGGGGGACAACGUUUCGAAAGGAACGCUAAUACCGCAUACGUCCUACGGGAGAAAGCAGGGGACCUUCGGGCCUUGCGCUAAUAGAUGAGCCUAGGUCGGAUUAGCUAGUUGGUGGGGUAAAGGCUCACCAAGGCGACGAUCCGUAACUGGUCUGAGAGGAUGAUCAGUCACACUGGAACUGAGACACGGUCCAGACUCCUACGGGAGGCAGCAGUGGGGAAUAUUGGACAAUGGGCGAAAGCCUGAUCCAGCCAUGCCGCGUGUGUGAAGAAGGUCUUCGGAUUGUAAAGCACUUUAAGUUGGGAGGAAGGGCAGUAAAUUAAUACUUUGCUGUUUUGACGUUACCGACAGAAUAAGCACCGGCUAACUCUGUGMCACCCCCACGAWWAUAGGCUAC